AAGUAGUUUUGGAACCGUUCGAGCAGCAAGGACUCAAAUCUGCUUUGGAGCCUUUAGAUUCAUUUAGAAGCGCUUUAACGCCGGGACUUGCAUUUUGAGAUAAAUUCUCCAUAAACAUGGCGGGGCUUCUAUUUCAUGAUAUUUUCAAGGUCAAGUGUGUCAACCCAGAUGGUAAGAAGUAUGAUAAAGUUUCUAGAAUUGAAGCACGGAGUGAGAAGCUUUCCAUGUAUAUGCUGCUGGAUGUAAAUACAGAGAUAUAUCCAAUUGAUGAAGGUGAGAAGAUUCUGAUGGUAUUGUCCCCCUCGCUGAAUUAUGAUGGAUCUCCUGUUACCAGCUAUAGUGAU
This 344-nucleotide unclassified non-coding RNA is filed under the name Hevea brasiliensis (rubber tree). The record is from RNAcentral. Lineage: Eukaryota; Viridiplantae; Streptophyta; Magnoliopsida; Malpighiales; Euphorbiaceae.